Molecule: long non-coding RNA, 3919 nt
Organism: Vidua chalybeata
Lineage: Eukaryota; Metazoa; Chordata; Aves; Passeriformes; Viduidae
Exons: 9
Source: RefSeq, a predicted model, not a curated record
CAGGGCAGGGCAGGGGCACGGGCGGCUGCCCCGGGCGCCCGGCAGGUACCGCGGGGCCGGGCUGCCGAAGGGCGGCGAGCAGGUGACGACCUCCCCGGCAGAGCCGCCGGCCUGGGGGGCCGGCCCGGGAGGUGCAGCCCGGCCCUGCCCGGCACCUCGAGCGCACCUGCUAUUUCUGCUGCAGCUUCCUGUCCUUGACCUAGCGAUACAUUGUGAAGUUCUCCUGAGUCAAUGAAUCCUGGUAAAAUGCAGUAAAGGAUUUAAGGUUAUCGUCUGUCUCUCUCUAACUUCUGACAUCUCUUUAUAACAAGAAAGAGUCACAGCCAACUGUAACAGGAGGGCAACACAAUGAAUCCUGCUAUGCCCAGUUUUGCCUGAUAUCUUAUUGCUGAAAGAAAUGGGGUGCAGCAGCAGAUGUCUGCGAAGGAAGGGUGCCUACAGUGUGCUGUUUGCGAAGCAGGGUAACGAUUAAGCAGUUGGUGCAGUGGGAUUUCUCUGUCAGAGCCCUUCAGAGGAACAUACUGUCCAUAAAUGAGAAGGCUUUUAAAGCACUCUGAUGACUGGAAAGAUACGCAAGUACAACUGAUAUCCCCUGAUGACAUUUGCUUACUUUGACUGCUUGCACAAGAUGGACAGUCAUGUGCAUGAGCACAGCAAAAAGGAGCAGCAUACAUGCUGCAGAGCUGGAAAAUACUUUUCAGAAUCCACAACUUUCUCAUGGAGAGGUGCACAUCCAGUGGCCAGAUGUCACUGCAGUCAGCUGUGGCCACUCCAAGCUGGAAAUGAGUGUCUGAACAUCCUGCCCACUAAUCCACUGCAGUGCCUGUGUUCUGGCUGUUCUCUUGGCUUCUCAGCCAGAAGAAUAUCCUGAAGCAAAUUACUGUCAAAAGCCAAAAAAAGUAUUCAUAAUUCAUCCUAACGCCCUGUCAACUUUAAAGUAAUUUUUUCUGCUUUAUGAGUUCUGGCUGAAGUGGUGUUUUAUGAGAAAUUGGAGCUGCAUGUCACAGUACCUUUUUUCCAUGGGUUAAGGGAGACUGUUCUAACACUCCCAGAUUCUGCUGCCCAGUCAUUCUCUCUUUGUAAUUAGCAUGAAGACUACCCUUCAGUCAAAACUAGCCACCUGGAAAGUUUCAGCUUGUAAUAUGCAGCUUUUUUUGUGAAUUAUGAAUGUGCAAAAAAGAGACCUUUCUCCUUACACCCACUUCCUUGCAUAAUUCAAAUAUGAAUGAAUGAAUUUUAUUCAGCCUUGCCAGAAAAAAAAAAAAAUCAGCUGAUAACAAGCAUGAAAAAUUUCAGAUGAAAGGGAGUUGUUUUUUUUUUUUUAAGAAUAUUCUGAGCAUGGGAGAACAGCAGGUUAAGAUAGAAGUCUCAGCACAGCCUUAACUAUAACAAUUGCUAUCAAGCAAAUACCAUAUCCAAGCACUAAAUCUUGCUUUGUGCUGCCCUGGUGCACAGUAGCAGGGACAGAGUAGAAUAAUAAAAGCUGGUCCCCUUAUGCAAACAGCAAGGCACAGCACCUGACAGAAUACGAGAAGAAGGUGAGCCUGCCUACUGCUCUGGCUUGCUAACCGUAUUCCCAAGGUCUGUGGGUUGGUUGUCACCUCUAGCUCCAGUCAGAUAGCAAAAGGUACUUCAAACACUAGCAAAGGGAAUGUUUUGGUCCAUUCCGGAAGAACGUUUUACUAAUUCCUUGCCUCCAAGUGUACUAUUCUAUUAAAUAAAGUAUUUGAAGGAAUUUGUAUCAGCAACAUCAUGGUUUAAUGGGUCAAAAAGGGAAUUGAAUCAGUGCCAGGCAUUUUUGUGAUUAACUGUGUAUUUUAAAAAUAUAUAUCUGUGAAGAAGGUAUUAUCUGUGCAAAGCAGAUUGAGAUUUGGGUUCAUGCCAGUACCACUUUGAAAAUAAACUAUCACAGUGAAGAAACGGUACCAUCUGGAACAUUUCUGCAUCAUAUUUUCUCUUGUUCCUAAUAAUGCAUUGGUGAUAAGUCCAGCUCUCCUUUUCUACUGAGAAAACAGGAUUAAAACUUCCAUUCAUUUACUAUGUGUUUGUUAAAAAAUGCCCAUUACAGUGGCUAAACAGCAGUGAAUACGAAAGGAUUACCUUGCAGAUUCACAGAUCCACAUCGAUUAGGGGAUCAACAGACAGGAUUUGCAAAUAGCAAGCCUAUGCAUAAAAAUCUCCUUCCAGUCUGAUGUGAGUUGACUGUUGCAAGUUGAGCUUGGCAGCAAGUGACCAAAAUUGAGUUGUCAGCAUCCUCCUGCAUAGUGGAAGAAGUUGUUGCUUUCUCGUGCAGAUGCAAGAGUUUCUGUGGGAAAACAGAACAUAAUCAUGGUUCUGAAUGUCUCUGUGGAUUGGUAAUGUCUCUAAUACAUAGAUCACUUGUGCAAAUUCAGUCCCAGCUGGAUGGGAAAUUAUUGAAAAUGGUUGUUGUUUGAUUGAUAUAAAAUGAGUUGUCAGCUUGAUUCAAUGCCUUCAGGGCAGAUGUCCAUAGCAUAAUUGGCACCUGUCAGAAACAAAGAAUUCCUUGGUACAGAGUAACAGCUACUCAUGCAACCACCCAGAACAGUCCUUGCGUGCCAGGGCUCAGAGAAGAAGGCAGAAAAAAAAAAAACAAACUUCUGGGCAGGAUCUAUUAUGCCAUAAAGUCAAUAAGAGAUUUGAUGUGACACUUGGUGCAAGCUUUUCCCUGGGAUCCUGGCUAGACACGAUCAGCUUUUCUGCUGUUUGGUCAACACUUUCCCUAAGAAUUAGAAGAAAACUCACAUAUAUGGUUACUUGCUAUUAUUGUCAUGGUAAAGGUGGGUUUGUAAAACCAGUUAAUAAAGAAAUGUUUGCAUGUUUGCUUAUUAUAAAAAAAUGCUGUGAAUAAUUUUAUUUUUAUAUUUCUUGAGAAAUUCUCCUCACAACAAUACAGCUAGAGAAAUAAUAGAGUGUCCUCUCAGCAAAAAAAUAAGGCAAAGAAACAGCCAGGACUGACAGUAUAGCAGUGUCAGUAUUACACUGUUUGCUAAUAGUAAACAGUGACCUAUUGUUUACCACAGAGUAGAUUAAAACCGAUUUUUUCCUAUAAGUCACUAAAUAGCUGUCAUAUGGUUAUUAGUGCCUUUGACCAAGUGUGGUACAGCUAACAACAGGAAUGAAUUCUAUUUCCCGUUACCAAUCUGUCGAGCUGGCCACCUUCUUCAUGGGGCUGGUGCUUUGGGAGGUACUAGCUGAAGGACUUUCCAUUAAAACUCAUUUUACUGUCUUCAUCUAGCGCAUGGCUCAACUUUCCUUCUUUCCUUUCAUCUCUGUUUCCUCCUUUAGAUUAUUUUUCAUUAUGCCUCCCCCCCAGCAUACCCACACUUUGCCUUUCAUCUCUCUAUGUAUGCUAUUCCAGCACUUGUCAGGCCCAGCAGGAGGCACAUGGGAGAACCAAACAAUAUGAUAUGUUAGGUGGAAGGAAAUAUUAGAACAAUCAUUUAUUGUCACACUUUAAAGAGGUCUGCUAUGUUAUUUAUUUUAUUAUUCUGUAUUAGGUACAUGGUUUAGUUUUACAGGCAUUAUUAAUCACUAAAAUACAUUACACUUUCAGCCAGGACGCUAACAUUUUAAAUGCAUUCAUCUUGCUUCUUUAAACAGAAACAAUGGGUCUUCUGCACUGCCCUCCCUCCCCUUUAGUCAAUAAAUCCUUUCUAUUGAUUCAAGAAAUAACUCUUAAACCUUGUUUUAUAUUUUAAGUUCCACUAGCUACACUCAGCCAUAUAAUUUCGCUCAAUAACAAAUGGAUCUUCUAUUUUUGCUGUUUACUAUGUGUUUGGUUAUCAAACUCAGCUUGAAAGUAUUGGGUAGAAGAGGACAAAAACUGUAGUGGCAGUGAGCCACCAUGAGAGAUUUCCUAAAUGAAUGUUGCAAUAAAAUAAAGUAUCUGUAAAAAAUG